Phalacrocorax carbo (great cormorant) is the source of this 9946-nucleotide non-coding RNA. The record is from RefSeq and is a predicted model, not a curated record. NCBI's taxonomy places the organism in Eukaryota, Metazoa, Chordata, Aves, Suliformes, Phalacrocoracidae.
GGGAGUGAAGGGAGGGGGGGAAGCGGGAGCGCGCGGGCGCGCGCCCGCCGCAGCAACGGCUUCGCGCGGGCGCCGCAGUCCCUCAGGGGAACCGGACCCCCCCCCACACCCCCGCCCCUCUCCUCCCCGUCCCUCAGCAGCCGCCGUGGGCGGGAGGGCUGGCGGGGUACCCCGGGAUAAAGCUGGCUGGGAGGAACAAGCCGGGCCUGCUCUUCCUCCCCCGUAGUCCCUCCCGGGGCGGGAGCGCAGGCCGCAGCCGGCCGCCGCCUGAGCGAGCGUGUCGCUCGGCUCCCCGCCCCGCUCGGGCACCCGCCCACCACCCCCGGGCACCGGGCGCUGUCUCACCCCUGCUGCCCAGGAGGUCCUUCCCCGUGCGGAGGGUGCGGGAGCUCCUCGAGAAAAGGCCGAGAAGGUGUGAGGGCAAAGAGUGGCCAAGGAAGUGUCGUGGAGGCGGAGGAGAGGGAUGGAGCCGGGAGAAGCAGUGGAUAUGGCCGCCGGGCCGGGAAGCUCCAUCCAGAUGCUGGUGGAGUUGGUGCCAUGGAAAAUGGACGAGCUGCCAGGAUUCGCGGAGUAGAGAACUUCUGAACAGAAAGCAGCUUCUGUGACUGCUUAGGAAAUCAAUGAAGUCUGCAAUAGCCACCAGCCACAAAAGCAUCUGAUUUCCUGGAUCAAAGUGCAUGCCUUGGUAGAUUUCCUACUCCAUGUUGAGACUCCUUUUUGCAAGUUUCAACAAGCAUCCUGCAUGGAAGUACAAACUGCACUCCUUUUGCCCACAGAGAGGAGUUCGGCUGCUGGCUGGAAAACGCUCAGCCCUCUGAACUGUUCCGCGAGCUAUUGCAGGAGCCUGGGAAGAAGCUGACACUGGAGACGGGUGAGCUCCUUACGGGUGCCACUUGAAACGUAAAACCCUCGUGAACUAGGAGUUGCUGGAAUUUGUGGAACUUGGACACCUGCCCUUUAGGCAAUGGGGAUUUCCAUCCGAAGGAGUUAGAGGUUGUUAUUACCAAACCAUUCCAAAGCUCCAAACCAGGUUUAUAAGUUUGGAGAAACACGAUCCCUGCCUGCCCCAUCUCACAGAGCUUUUUGAAGACUGUGUUAAACAGAAACGCCUCACAAACCCACUUAGCAGAAACCCCUACAUUCAUCAGCUGCUCAAACAGCGUACAAAUUUCACAUUUUUGAGGCAUAGUUUUGACUUCAGUAAGUUUCCUCUUCAAAGAAAAUGUCAAUAACAUUCCAGUGGAACAUAUUCUGAUGCCAACUCCAAGUGGUAAAAAUAAUCAGACUUGGGCAGUCCUCAAGGAUCCAAUGUUUUGAAGUGAUACGCAAGUUAAACGGUUAACAGACUCAUACAAGUUGGAUUAUAUAUGCCUGGCAUCACUUAAAAAUUCUCUGUCCUACUCAAGUAAGUACUAGUUUUCUCAAUCUAAGUUGGAUUAGAAACAAGUGAAAUCGUUCCUUCACUGAGGUGAGGAGUAAGUCAGCCUCAAUUUCAGCGAUAGAGAAUUAGGCUGUUACUCUGUAAACACACAUACACGCUUACAAAAAUAACUGAUCGGUUUAAGUGCAAGCAAUUGUGUAUCUAUGUAAGAAGUUAAGACAUAGGUAUUGUCAUAAAUAAUAGAAUCCUUUAGCCUUAGACUCCUAAGUUUGAAAUCAAAUUAAAAUAAGGAAUUGAGGUAAUCUCGAUAUUUAGCAGUUUACUGGGUGCUUGUGUCCUUUCCUAUUUAAAGAUUUGUGCUGGAUUUCAAAACAUUUAGAGUUGAAAUAUUCCAAAUGAGAACAUUUUUCUUAACUGGGAUCUAAAAUUGCAAAACACAAAGCAAGUGUCCUCAGUUACCCAACUGAGCCUUCUUCUGAAAAGUCCUUAAAAAAAAAAAAGGAAUACGUGUAUUUAUGUGGAUGUGUUGGGCUCAAAUCAUUAUCGUACAUUAUGUUUGGAAGGCUAUUCUUAAUAUUUCCACACUGUUAGUAGUAUUUCACAUACUUCUGUGUUUAUGUACGUACAUGUACAUAUAUACACACAGUCACAUGCUCUUUCCUUAGUUUAGCUCCAGUGAAGUUAUAAAAACCAGCCCAGUUUACAUCAGCAAAAGUUUGGGCAUAGGGCUUCUCCACCCAUUUUAAAACCUCUAACUAAAAUGUAACCCCUAAAAUAUAUGAAUUGAGGCCAGAUUUUCAAACCCAGAAGUAGAUCUGAAGUGACCCUCAGAUGUGGCUGAGACCUAAGUAUGUUAUUAUGGUCAGAAUGGAAGAACCUGUCUCGACAGUACACGCCCCAGCAAGAUCAAUUGGUUCACCACUCUAAAGCAAUGAGAAACCAAACACUAUCUUUAUGGUAGCCAAGCUGUGAGUUCACUAGAACGUCAGGUAUCAGAAAGCCAGGAUGAGACAAGGUAGAGGAGGAUGGAUUAGAAAGUGCGCGUGUGUUGGGGGAAGGAUUAGUAUACCGAGAGCCAUAAUUGUGUGAGAAUGUUAUAAAACAGUCACAGCCUGAAAAAAAUAAAGCACUGUUUAUUGCCAGUGUUACCAAAUAUUCUGUGAGAAAUCAGAGUCAAGACUGAAACGCAGGCAGUUGGGGUCAGGCAGAAGCAGCGUUAGGCCUCUGUUGUUACUAUUAAUCUGAUCCAAACUUUUCUGCUCCGCUAGCUGAGGCUAUACUGAAGAAUGCAGAAAAACGCCACUUGACUUUGAGGUCAGAAUUUUGCGAGAACUUUUUCCAUGAGCGUUCAGGUAUAAGAUAACGCUGAGAGACAAUGGCAGGGGAGUUGUGAAGGUUAAAGAGAAAGAAGUAUAGUGAUCAUACUUCCACAGAAUAAAGCAAAGGAAAAGACAGAGAGUAAGGGGAAAGAAGAGCUCAAAGGCACAUGAUACUUCUUCACAGUUUUGCCUCCAGGAACAAUUUCUCUUCCCAGUCAACAGGGGUAAUUCCCAUUUGGCUACUGGUGAGAAAGGCUCAAGAUCAGAUGUGUCUCUUAUUGGCAACGCUUGCAUUUUGAGGAACAGACCAUUGGAUUUCCAGCCUUUACAAUCAAACAUUUUUUGCUAACUAUAUGCAGAAUUAAUUUUGCUUUUGAGUCAAAUACAUCCCUCGGGCAGACUGAGUCAAGUCAAUACCUUCACAACAUGAAAGAAUUUGGCUCAGAAUAUUAUGAACAGUUUAUAUCUCUGUGGCUACUCGGGCUGCUCAAAUAACUGACAGCAGUGGACAGUAGUUUUGAGCUAUCUGGGAGAGCUUUAAUAUUAAUGUUUUUUUGUCUGUAGCCCUUUUAGUCCCCAGCUGAAAUGGCUUUUGAUAGAAGGGCCUUAGUCAAUGACUGUUCUGAGGGAACAGUACAACUCCCACAGAUUUUAUUAAACUUAGAGAUAUAUUGGACAUAUAUCUCAAGCAAGAUUUAUUUAUGCAAUAUACUGUCUUCCCAAUUACACGGUAUAUUAUACAAUGGAAAUGAUCAAAUGUUUCCUUCUCAUAAAAAUAUGCCAUGCGAUAUGGUCAUAAAGACAGAGUGAAUGAAAUGACAGAGAGUCUUUCCCUCCCAUACACUAGCAAGAAUUAUAAUACUUAUAGUAACGAAAGGUAAAAUUCAUUUGUGAGCCAAGCUGGUGUGUGCUACAGGAUCCUAAAAAAAGCCUGAAGAAACUUCAGAGAUGUUCCAUUAAAUGAGUCUGUUGAAUCUGAACUGUAAGUACUGGACAUUGGAAUACUUCCCCUUUCUAUUUUAUUUUUGAAAACCAAAUGUAAAAGAUUCCCAAACAAACAUGGACCUGUGACAGGAGACCUGAGAUGGGGAGCUUGUGCACCUUCCCUCUACCUUCUCCUUAGAAAAUAACAAUCUAGACUCUCUCUCUUGAAUAGCUCCUCUCUGUUCCAUUAAAACAUUGCCGACAGAAUCAUUUAGUCUGUAAUGAAGAUCUGAUGACAUAAGGAACAUUGGGCAUCCUGAGACAGCACAUGGUCCUUCAACUCUUCUCUGUCUUGCAGUGCUGAAGCAAUAAGUGAAUUGAUUUUUUCCCCCCCCUGGGGUAUUCUCAUGGAGCAACACAAUAUUUUUCCUCAUUUGUAAAAUGAGCAACUAAAACUUAAUAGAAUUGCUCAUGGUCAAAAUGAAGGUCCACAGCAGGGCAAAGAACUGAAAGAAGUGCUUCUGAAUCCCAACCAAGUAUUUAAAAUAUCAGAGAGAUAAUGGAUUUUUUAAAAUAAAUAUUACUAUUCAGUUUAGCAGUAUUUUCCUGUAUUGAUCACCCAAUAGUCUUCUACUGAACCUGACGGAUAUAUACUGGCCUUUUUUCAAAAGAGAAAUAGUUAUAGAGACUUACAAAUUAUUAGGGUCUAUAUCUCUUGAAAUUAAAAAUUCUGUUUUUCUAGUAGCGUAUUGUGGAUUUGCAGGGCUUGUCCUUAUUGGACUUAUAAUAGCUUUCUUCCUAACAUGUACUUACAUUCACAUAAACAUAUUGGCCUACAAAUAAAAUGUCUUUUUAGAAGUAGAAGUCACAAAAUAACUUUAAAAAAAAAACCUCUUAUAGGGUGCCUGGGAGUAAACUUGUGUGAAAGGUACUUCAUUAUCAUGAUCCCAACAAUUUUGUCUCAAAGGCGUGAGGCACUGACGCUGCUGGAAUCUGGACCUUGCGCUAGAUUAACGGCUGUUCUGAUCCAGUGAGGCUAUUUCUACCUUUCUGUGUUUGCAGCUGAGAAUUUUUCCAUGGUCAGAUGAAUCUAAAACUAUUGAGAUUGUUUGUCUUCUUUUUUCCCCAAGCUAUAUUUUUGUUAUCUUAACAAAGACACCAUAAGACACAGAAAGAAAUCACAGGCAGUUAACUGGAGAGGACAGAAGACAACUAUCAUGCUGGUUUAGUUAAAACUUUAGCUUGGGAUCAGAAAAAGGGGUAGAAGAAGAGCUAGUCUCUCUUUUUCAGCCACUGUAGUUAAGAAUGUGAGCAGCCCACGCCAGAAUGAUUGCAGUGUAUCCUGCUAGUGUGUCUGCUUUCCAAAACAGGGAAGUACAUUUCUCCCAGAAGGUACCCUGGUUUAUGCAGCCAGUGCCACAGAGUAGGAGAAGCAUUAUCAUAUAUUCAGUGGAAGAAAAAAAAAAAAACAACCAGCAACUCAUUCUCAACAAGUAGUACAGACCUCAAUCAAAGCAGCUCCCUAAAAUCAAAGCAAAUACCUCCUACGGAUGCAGUUUAUGGCAUCUACCAGUAUGCUCUUAUAUUUAACUGUCAAAUAAUAAACGCAGCUGGAACUACAGCAGGUCAGUGUUGGUGAAAGUGAAGAUAACUCCUUCCCAAGACUGACACAGUGAAAUUUGGCAUGUGAGUUUAGGUACUCCAAUUUAUCUUAUUGGAAAACACAUCACUUCAACAAGAACAAAGACCGCAAAAUUCUGAGUAUGCGGAGCAAUUUGAGCCGGGAUGCGUUUCAGAAAAGGAUUCCCUCUCUUGGCCUUAGGUGUGCAAUUGGAUUCAUCGGAGCGGCUGCCCCCAGCUUCUUAUAGCCCCACUGGUAAAGCACAGGUACCUGCUGGGUCAGGACUUUCAGUUUCUGUUGGUCACCCUUAUAAACAAAACCAACGCACAACAUGCUUAGGUAUUGUACAUCAGGAAACUAUUCCCCGCUCACUGAAGUGUUCUUUCUCAUCAGAACUUCACUUUUCUCCAGGGGAGCCGAGAGAAGGACAAGAACGCAUAGAUCUCAAUUUCAGCUGGUGGUUUUUUAGAGCUAUUUUUCUAACUUGUGCACACCAAUGAUGAGAAAGUUCAUGCUUCCUCUACAUGGUGUUGUCCUAAGUUUGAAGCUGCCCCUGAAAUACACUAAUGUGUCUUUUCUAUUCAGUUCCUGAACCAAAUAGGUAAGUGGUAUGAGUUAGAAGAGUUCUCAUUCUUUCAGAAUAGGGAUUAUGUUUUAUUUCAUAAAUUCUCUUCAGGAUUUUCUUACCUUCCCUCUCCCUCCUUUGUAAUCAUAUGACAUUCUGGGUCAACUACAACAAAUGCUUACAUGGAAAUGAACUAUUAGGAAGUUAUUAGCAUUUAGCAUAAUUUUGCUGGCAUUAAUGCAAUUUAGAAGCAGAAUAAAAGGAAGCAGUGCCAGUGCUGUGCUAUCAGCCAGCUCUCCAGCUCACCCUAAAGAAAGCUCUGUGAGCCGGUCUGAUAAUCCACAGACCACGACUGAGCACCUCUGGGUUACACAGGCUUGUUGGAAAGCCUGCUACAGGCAAGAACUGCUUUUUCCUUGUUGGACUGAAGGCAACCAAGGGAGCAGAGAGAAAGGUAGCGUUGUGCGCUGGUAUCUUGGUUAGCCGUCUACAUCAGCGGAAGGAUGCGUGGGAGAUUCUUAAAGGUCGCACAGUAGGAAUGAAAAUGAUGUUAAUUUCUGCCCCUGCAAAGUGAAGUGCUGGACAGGAACAUGCAGAAGACUGAGAUGGUAAAGACAAGAUGUUAAAUAUAGGUCAGUACACACACAAAAUUGAAUCCAGAGCUUUAACAACCUCUGUUAGCUUCCACAUUACUGUCUCUAUGAACUAUGUUGAGAAGAGCUUCGUAGUAUUUGCUAAUUUCAUUUGGAGGCCUCACGCUUUCAAAUUUAAGUGAGUACAUUCAGGUGGUAGAAUUUAUGAUCUCUAAAUUCAUUUUUCCCACAGAACUUCCAGGAGUAUUUUGGGGAAGACAGACAUCAUAUUUGAUCAAUUUUCCUUUCUGGUUUCACUCACAAUUCCACAGAGACAAUUGAGUUAAUUCACUAUUCCUAUGUUUUUGUCAUUCUUCAGGUGCUAAAAGGCAGGAGUGAAAAGAAGGAGGCAAGGGAAGGAGCCACAGAGAACCUUUCUCCUUUUGCGAUUUCUUCAUGCAUGAAAGGAAGAGAGGUCAAGUUCUCAUGCCUGCUUUCCUAAAGUCACGCUCUAGCCACAUCCCGUCAGCACACACUGCAUGCAGUCAGUAUUCCUGCCGCACACUAAGCGCCGUAGGAGGUGAGGAGGAGACCAUUUGAGUAGAAGGCAAGGCAGCAGUAUUCAGGAAACAGGUUAGUUUAGAUCAAACGGUCUUAUACCACAGCAGAAAAUGAGCAUUUCCCUGUGUCAUAACCAGACAAGCACAUUUACCUGGAAGGCCUUUUGGUUUUGAUUUCCUACUGGCAUCAGCUUUGCUGUGUCUUCAUUAAAUGCUUAUAACACUAUGCUCUACUGACAAUAUUGGGAAGGGCAGGGGGUUGAUAUCACUAUCCACAUCCUGCGUUUUACUCUAUUUUUGGCACAGUGGGUAUUUAGAAGACAGUACUGUCACCAGCCAUUGUCCUCUGCUCAGCAGAGCAGUCAUAGUUCAAAAUAUAUUCAGCUUGGGACAGAUAUACCUGCCUAUUAUCAGUGCCAUUUUAAAGAGUUACAUGAUUCAUCGAGUCUUCAGUCAGGAACCUAUUUUAAGCCUUGCUGUCAUUAACUGCGACUAAUUUUCCUAGGCAAAGCAGCAGACUUCUGCAAAUGGUCAAGAAAUACUGCAGGAUGGGGCUGGUCAAUCAGAAGUAAUGUACACUGAGAUAAGCCUGGACAUAUUAAAAAUAGGGCAUAACAAGGCCAGACUUCAAGCUAGUGGUUUCUUAAAGCUGCUAAUGAUUUCUUAUCAGGCCUAAGCCUGUUACAGUCUCUAGCAAUGAGACGUAGUAGAAUGAUGAAUCCAACCCAAUUUCUCCACCUUACACAAGUCUGCCUCCUACUCGGGAGGGAAGAACAAGGCCUCUUAAUAGUUAUGUAAAGAAAGUUAUAAAAAGAAAGUUAUAAAAAGAGUUAUAAAGUUAUAUAAAGAAAGAUCUGUAACCUUCAUUUUCUGGGCUUGAAGAUCACCAUGACAACAUAAAGGCAGAUUUUUGAGGAGUAAGAGUUAAGUCUAAAUAUAAACAAGAAACUGGACAGAAAAAUUGACUGACAGUUUCUUUAACAAAGCCCAUCACUCGGGAGGAUUUUUUGUGAGGGACUGGAUUAAGCAGUACAAAAACACUGUAGUAAAUCUUGCCUUAGGGAUUAAGGACAGCACCUCCACAAAAGGUCCUUAUCAUUGCACAAGUUCCAAAAGUUACCAACUCUUGCAGAUUUUUUUUCCUACUAUUUUUCCCCUGUAAUUACAUAAAGGAUUUAAAUCCUACAAGCUUGGAAAGCGUUUAGAUUCUAUUUUGUAUCCUCCAGGAAAAAAGAUUACAACUAUUCCUCUAUCUGAUUACAUGGUUUUUAUGCACUGAAUUUUUAUCAUUUAAUCCGCUGAAGCAGAGCUAAGGGGAAGGGGUGCCUUAAUUACAUCUGCAUUAGUUUCAUAUCUGAUCAAAAUAUACUCUUCUGAUUAUUAAAAAAUACCUUUAAAACAACAUUAAGUGUAAACAUCGAGAUAUAAUAUAGACAUUUUCCAUUAUAGCACAUGCACUAGGACUAUUUGAAACAAAUAGUGUAUCUAUUAUGUUCAUAAAACAUUAAGGAUGCACAAUUCCUAUUUGAGUGAACACACUGUAUUAUUACUUAUUCAGAAAACCAUUUAUUUUAGUUGAAAAUUAGAACUGGAAGAUUUUUUUACUUUGGUACAUUUGAUGCUUAUGAAAGAAGUUAAUUGCCUAUUGAUAUUUUAAAUGCUAUAAAUAUUUCCCAUAUAUAAAUAAAAUUCACCCACUCUGAACUAAAGUUUGAUCUUAGCAGCUUUCAGGAAAAGUUACAGCGUUGCUCUUAUUUCACGCAGUUGCGCUGAUUUUCCACAGGCACUGCUAACAUGGUACGAUCCAAAUCUGUUUGCGUUCCCAUGAGGAAAACAGAAAUCAAUGUUGUGUAUUAAAUGGCACGCUUACUGAAUUGCUGUGGUACUUAUCUAAGAAAAGUGAAACGCAUUUUAAAAGGAACUAGUGCUCAUGUAUUCUUAAAUAAUGCUCAGAAAACGCUCUUUUUUUAAAGGAUGAUAACUAGAUUUUUCUUCCUUUAAACACUCCAAUAUUUGGUUGAGUCAUGCAAAAUCCUCCAUGAAUGGUAGCUUUUCCUUCCUUCUGUAACACAGAAAACCAAUGGGAGUUUCAAUGAACUUUGUUCUUGUAUGGACUGCUGAUACAAUUCCAGGUGUUUGGAAGCAGCAGAAAGUGUAAGAGUUUCAAUCUAGUCUCAUGCACUAAUCUCUUAGAUCAGAAUUACUGCUACCAGAUAAAGGUACCUCAUUUGCAGUUUAUAGCAGUUAAUGGGGAAAAAAAAAACCCAAACAAUUGAGGGCUGCAGGCAGGGCUGCAACAGUCAACCUUCCCUUGCAGGGACCCGUGUUUUAUCACCGGAAACUUCUCCUUCAAUCAGUGCUAAGGACUCCUAAUGCAGAUUGUCGAGGGCUGACGUCAACUGGUUCUAUGGAAACCACAAAGAGUUUAAUUUAGUCACAUUAUUUGUUUCAUGUAGUGAUCAGAGCAUAACUAGAAAGGGAAGUGACCUUGCUCUUGGUGUACUUCAAACAGAAAACAGAAAUAUUUGGGGGCCUUUGGCAGAGGUUUGCUAUAGCUUGACUGACACCACUUAAUGGCAAAGCGUUGUUGUAAUGUUGAAACAAAAAGAUGCCAUUCUAAGCACCAGCAAUGUCUCGAGUGCCUUUGCCAUGGGCACAAAUCAAUACGUUAUUGCCAGGGAAUGCACACUAUUCAAAUGGAGAUGCUAAACAUUAUUAUCGAUAGAUGUUAGAUGACAACCUAUGAAUCAUACUUUGUUUUCAUUCGCACCUAAUGCAAUAUUUGUUCAUUUCUGUUGCUGUUCUUUCAACUGCUUUGUUAGGUUUAUUCGAAUUCAGAUAACUUAAAAGUCAGUAAGAAUUAUAGGUAAUAGAGGAAAGCUUUUUCACCAAAUUUUCUAUUGUGGGAUAAAAAGUCCUCCAUGUUCCAAUGAUCAGUUGAAGCAGCUAUUGUUUUAAACCAGAAUGAAGUACUGUGUAAAACAGGCACGUAAUUAUUUUUGUU